Molecule: transfer RNA, 67 nt
Filed under: Marmota monax (woodchuck)
Lineage: Eukaryota; Metazoa; Chordata; Mammalia; Rodentia; Sciuridae
Description: tRNA.Ala
Source: RNAcentral
GGUUGUGGCUCAGAGGUAGAAUACUUGCCUAGCAUGCAGGAGGCACUGGGUUUGAUUCUCAGCACCA